UAAUAUUUUUCUAUUCGUCAUACACUAAAAAUCAUAAAAUUCAAUGUAUUUACAUUUUAUACAAUGGUUCGCGAUGAUGCACAAGUGAUAAAGUAUUAUCGGUUAUGGCUUUUCCUACUUGAUCCAUCCACAGUUGAGCAAAACAACCAUCAGACGAGCGGUCUUUUAAUAUAACUCAAUAUUUUGACGACUAGCUUCACACGUCAUGAUUUAUUCAUCAAGGGUCAACACCACGAGGUCGUGCAUAAGAAAAGUUGAAGUGAAGCAAAAAUAAAACUAUCAUCACCACUUGCCUGUUAGUUUCCGGUUUAGGAGCAAGACAAAAUGAAGUCACGUAAAGAUGUAUCAUCGCCAUCAAAAAAGCUGCUGAUACAACAGGAAAGGCCAUUGGAUCCCUACGAUAAGCUCAAAUAUCAGAUAUCAGAUAAGUUGUUUCGAGGUGAGAGACUUUCAGGAAUUCUAAACAACUUGGAGUCACUUGAAUGUAGUGUCGUACCUGAGACACCCAUUGAAAGUUGUUCCUCUUGGUCGACGGAUGCAUCUAGGCAGGAUGAAGCUGUUGCCUCGACUGUAAUUAGAUCCGACGGAUUUUGCAAGGAAACGUGCAAAAGGAAGGAACUCUAUUACACGAUUAAAGCUAAAGUUGAAAGAGCUAUCCAAGAGCAUAAAGUAUUUUUAAUUCGUGGAGAUCUACCGAAGCUCGAGGAAGCUCUUGAAAAAAGGGGAUGGGUUCAAAAGUACGAGUCAGUCAAAAUGCGCAUGCUACCUUACCAGAGUACAUCAGUUCUUGAAUCCCAGUCUUUUGGAAGCAUCGACCAAAAUGAUAGAACGUUGAAUGAGAAAGCACUUAUUUUUUCUUUUUUACAAUACACCCCUCCUGAUUUUAUUUGGGACUGCCGUAAUGACUUUGUCCAAUGGGAUACCUCAUUGGGAAAUAAUGUUCUUUUAAACAGAUUUGAGCGAUCCUCUGUAUACACUUCAAAGCUUGGGAUGGCUUAUAUUCUUCAAAAUUCUCAUUGGCUUCAUGGAGAUAAUGUGUCUACGAUUAAGUACCCACGAAGUUACAAUCCAAGUCGAGAAGCUAAAGUCUUUCUUGGAGAGUUUCGUCGUACUGCUGCAAUAGGAUUACUGAAGUGGUUUGUUUCACGAAUUCAAAAUGAUCAAGAAAUUCUAGAUUCCAGGGAAGAGUCGAUUUCUAUUAGUCAAGUAGAAUUUGCUAUUGAGCAAUGUGAGGAAUUUUUAGCAGAAGAGAAAUACGGAAAUAUAGAUGGAGUUGAUAACUCUGUAAUUUCAGAAGAAAAAAAUGAAGAAUGGAAUCUUUUCUUAGAAGAUUACUCGAAAGUGGUACACAAAGGAAAUAGAAUUGCAAAUUCCGGGGAUGAUAUCUACAUGAGAUUAGAGAAAUCCUAUUUAUCAGCCAAUGUGAUAUUAAAGAAAUUGAAAGAAAUCGAUCCUGAAUAUGAGCUUAGUGGAAUGAGAAAUAUUUGGAUUUUGAAGCCUAGUGAUCUUUGCUGUGGAACGGGCAUCAGCAUAUCUCAUAGCGUCAAAGACAUAUUCCGCCGGGUGAAGGCCAAACCCAAGGAUUAUUUCAUCGUGCAGAAAUAUAUCGAAAGUCCUUUGUUGGUGCAUGGAACAAAGUUUGACAUACGUCUAUGGUAUCUCGUCACGUGUACUUUUCCUUUGAUCAUCUGGAUAUUUGAAGAACCGCUGUUGAGAUUUAGUUCGAAAACUUUUUGUUUUGCAACAUAUCACGAAGCAAUUCAUCUUUGCAACACUGCGAUUCAGCAAAAAUAUGAUUAUGAAAAACGUCGGAAACGAAUGCGUGGCAAUCUUGGUGAUGAAACGACGGAUUCAAUUCGUGAUCAAGAAUGGAACUGUGCUAGAUUGAACGAAUAUUUAAAAACACAAGGAUAUGAAGGAGAGCCUUUUUAUGAUCUCAUUUAUCCAAAAAUGUCCGAAGCAAUCGUGCUUUUGAUGUUGGCAGCUCAAGACUAUUUAGACCGAAGAGCUCGUAGUUUUGAACUAUACGGAGCGGAUUUUAUGGUUCUUGAAGACUUGACGGUUUGGUUGAUUGAAAUAAAUACAAAUCCACGCAUGAAUCCACCAAGUUCAAAGAUCACUCAACGGUUGUAUAGCUCUGUACUUGAAAGUUUGAUCAAAGAUCCAACUUACUUGACUGCUCUACGUGUUCCAGCAUGUUUGUAUUGGCGGCACGAGUUGGCUACUAAUCAAACAAGCUGGACUUUCGGGAAUAGUCUUAUUUUAUUUAUUUUUUUCAAGUUUUCUUUUAUUCCAACUCUUGCUCCGUUAUAAGUACGAAUUAUUUGUCCAGAACUUUAAUAGAAUUUCGAUAAAACCAAUAAUGAUUCUAGAUAGGCCAAUAAAUCCAGACGCUGACACUGGAGGAUUUAAGCUUGCUUUCAAACAAAACAUUCCAGAGUUUUAUCCUAACUGUGGACCGGAUCUUU
This 2468-nucleotide unclassified non-coding RNA is filed under the name Chelonus insularis. RNAcentral describes it as "tubulin glycylase 3A-like, transcript variant X3". The record is from RNAcentral. Lineage: Eukaryota; Metazoa; Arthropoda; Insecta; Hymenoptera; Braconidae.